Molecule: unclassified non-coding RNA, 286 nt
Filed under: Hevea brasiliensis (rubber tree)
Lineage: Eukaryota; Viridiplantae; Streptophyta; Magnoliopsida; Malpighiales; Euphorbiaceae
Source: RNAcentral
CGACAAUCUCUUCAAGUUAACCGAUCUCCCAUUUUCUGAUCUCAUCGAUAUCAAAGACUACGAGCCCGAAGAAGCAUUGGUGAUGGAUAACCAGCAGUUUCUUCGCGAAUGGGCUUGCCCAGAGCGUCUUCAAGGAGGUCUACUGCAGUGGCUGAAGUUAAUGGGAAAGUGAAUGGUAGUGAUCAGGGCCAACGUAGAAAGCAGGCGUGGCUGUUACAAUCAAUUAUCUAGUUGCCUCACGUUUUUUCUUUUGGUCCAAAUGAAAAUGCAGGUUGCUUCUGAAAAA